This is a long non-coding RNA of Lynx canadensis (Canada lynx), 1155 nucleotides long. RefSeq lists it as uncharacterized. The record is from RefSeq and is a predicted model, not a curated record. The transcript is spliced from 4 exons. Lineage: Eukaryota; Metazoa; Chordata; Mammalia; Carnivora; Felidae.
AAGUCCAGCUUUGCAAUUAUUUCUCGCAUGGAUCACGCCUUUGGUGUUAUAUCUAAAAAGUCAUCAGCAUACUCAAAGCCAUUUAGAUUUUCUUUCUAGAUUAGAUUUAAUCGAUUUUCUCUAUUUUGUAAUAAUGGCUAUGUUUAACCAUCAGCUCACAAAAUUCCUGAAGAUUUAACAGUCAGCUCUUAUGAGCUGCCAUGAGCCAGCUGCAGCACACCAGCCUUGUGGGAAUAGAGAAAAUUGGACCUAUUAUUUACGAUAAGACUGAGAAUGACAUUACACUGAAAACAUGUAUUGGAAGCAGUACUCAAUAUUCAAGAAAUAUGGUAAAGAAACUAGAGCCUUAUAUCAUGAUUAGCAAACACUCCUGGUCUGGGGGUCAGUGAAUCUUCGUGGGGAUCUGCAGAAGGUGCAGCUGUUGGAAACUCCCCGGCUGCUUCACAGUCGUGAGAAUCACCUGGUGGUCUCGUGAAAAUGUAGAUCCUGACUCCAUAAGACUGGCAUGGCGCUUGAUAGGCUACAUUUUGAACAAAACCCUGGGUGAUGGUGGUACUCUGCUGGCCCAGGACUCGCACUGUGAGUAACAUGGGUUUAACCUGAGCAACAGCCCUAUGAGACGGCUGCUGUUUUUGUCCCUAUUUUGCAUAUAAUAACUAAGGUUGUGAGGGUAAAUAUCUUUCUCAAGGUCACAGAACUUGUAGUGGUAGUACUGGGGCUUGGACCGAUGGUCUCAUUCCAGAGCCUGCCUUCUUAGCAACCACACCCGACUUCAUUCAUGCAUAUGCGACAGUGGCAUCUAUGCCUAUUUGGCUUCUCUUACUAAGGACCAGAAUGUAGAACAAAUGGCAUAUAUUCCCCAAAGUUUUCAAGUCAUGUUCCUACUUAAAGCAAAGAUACCUAGGGAAUGUUCCAUAUGGUUUUAAUUGUACAUCAUAGCCCUGGCACUUUCGGCCAGAAUGACCCAUCCACGCCUGUGGCUUCUCUUGCCCAUAAAAAAAAAAGUCUUAAAUUCCAGCUGGUGUCAAGCCUAAUGCUCAGGUCACUCCAGAGCGAUGACACUGGCUCCCACCCUUUUUAACCCGGACCUUCAUUUGGCUUGAACUUAUUUCGCCAAGUUUUGGAUCCUUGGCUCUCCCUUACUUUUUUUGUCUU